Molecule: long non-coding RNA, 292 nt
Filed under: Pan troglodytes (chimpanzee)
Lineage: Eukaryota; Metazoa; Chordata; Mammalia; Primates; Hominidae
Description: long non-coding RNA NONPTRT013808
Source: RNAcentral
UUGUUUCCAAUGAAACUGCUAUAAAACAUCAUUAAAGGACAGUCUUAAACACAAGUGAAAUGGGACCAGGAAAAUCAGACAUAAAGAAAAAGAAACAAAAAUGGUAAAUAUUUGGGUAACUAUAUUACCUAUUUUUCUUCUCUUGUGAUUUGUACAAUAUAUUUGGUGGUUAUAUCAACUAACAAAAUUUAAGAUUGUUGUUGUAUUUAUCGGCCUUUUUUUUUUUUUUGGCUGAGUUCCUGGCAUUAUAAUUUUCUGAGUAGCAGGAGUGUCUGACUAGAAGCAGUAGCGA